GCAGCCAGGCUGACGGCAGAGCGGCAGGCGCGCAAGGCCCCGAUCAGUGAAAAAGGCGUUGGGGGUUUGGGGCUGAUUCGCGCCUAGAGCGUGAGGCCGGGCAGCGCUGUACCUAGGCGCGCGCCUCUUCUCUAAAGCGACGCGGUGCAGAGCAAACCCCGACAAACGGGCUCGGUGGGGAUGCUUGCAGUCAGGGUACUGGCGUAGUGUCUUCAACCUCAGUACUCCUCGGGCUUUCAACCUCGCCGUUUUCUGUGGUCUCAGGCUUAGCAGUGACACUGGCAGUAUAAGUUACCGCAUUAAUAUCUCCACCAAUUUCUGGAGAGACCACCUUGGGAGUCAGAAAAUAAUUCAGUCUUCAUGAAUGUUCAAUCCUUCUGCUGACACUGACAAAGGCACCAAUUGUGAUAAUGUUUUUUUGAGAACAGCUAUCCACUAAAAAUUGAACUCAGACCAUUACAACUCAUUUCACCACCCUAAAGACUGCAGGAUCACACCUUUAUAGGUGACAUGGAGCCACUGAUCCCAUCACCACCAGUCCCUCCUACUGGUUGGCUUUUGUACUUUGAGAAGAGAGAGUGAGCAUGGGAGGGAAGCAGGAAAUAGUUCUAGUUAGCACAUGAAUUUAUUUUAAAUAAUAUAUUGAAUAAAAAAAACGUUUUUCUAAUGCCUGGUAGAUCAAAAGCCGGCUGGUCUAGACAGACAAAAUCACUGUUGAUAUGAUCUAAAUUAAUUGCUCUUAGCUUCUUUUUUGAGCUAAAUAUAACUUAUGUAAUGUUUAAAUGCAAUGGGGAUUUUCUAUUACUAAGAUGAUUAAAAAAAAUCCUAGCUAUGGAAGUAUAAAAAUACGGCUGUUGAGGAUUAUCUGUUUUGCCUAAUUAUUAAUGAAAUGUGUCCACAACUUUGAAUAUUUAACCAUGAUCCCCUGUAGCAUUUAAAGCAACAUUUAUUAAUUUAUUAGAUGUUCAGGAUAUACCAACAUAUAUUUUUGCAUUCUCUUCUCCCCUCCAAGAAGCUUUUGGCUAAUUUUACGCCAAUUUUUUUUUUCCUGGAUGAUAUAUUUUAUGUGAAUAUUGUAUCUUCAUUAUCAUUUUGAUUCUGAAACCAUAAAAAUGUUCAUAAAUGACAUUUUACUGUUCUUUCAGUAAACAAUAGACGAAAACACUUGUAGAAAGAUGAAUAAAAGGCAUGGAAUAAAAAAAUAUGCUCAUUUCA
Long non-coding RNA from Gopherus evgoodei (Goodes thornscrub tortoise), 1215 nucleotides. RefSeq lists it as uncharacterized. The record is from RefSeq and is a predicted model, not a curated record. The transcript has 2 exons. Lineage: Eukaryota; Metazoa; Chordata; Testudines; Testudinidae.